Molecule: small RNA, 262 nt
Filed under: Arabidopsis thaliana (thale cress)
Lineage: Eukaryota; Viridiplantae; Streptophyta; Magnoliopsida; Brassicales; Brassicaceae
Description: ATSL274850
Source: RNAcentral
CUCUUUGAGCUUUCCGAAAAGGUAUCACAUGCCAAGUUUGGCCUGACGUUAUAAAAGUUAUAGAGUCAUAAAGUUUUAACCAAAAAAAAACAAAUUAAAAAAAAAGAGGGAUGCAACACGAGGAGUUUCCGGGAGGUCACCCAUCCUAGUACUACUCUCGCCCAAGCCCGCUUAACUGCGGAGUUUUGAUGGGAUCCGGUGUAUUAGUGCUGGUAUGAUCGCAUCUGUUAGUUUAUGUAAUGCAAUCGUAUAUAUUCUUUUU